GUGACUGAGCGGGGAGGAAGAGCGGGCUCCCUCGCAGGCGGAGAGCGGCGCGCGCCCCCCGCCCCACCUGCCCCGCGCGGGCCGAGCGGCGCGAGGCGCCGAGCGCGGGAAGGCGGGCGCGAGGCCCCUCAGCCGCUCGGUCCCCCCACUCCCCUCAGCCCCUCAUUCCCCUCAGCCCCGCGGCCGCCUCGCCCCUCUCUCCUUGCACGCUCCGCUGGUUGCGCUUCCCCAUCCGUCAGGCUCCAGCUCUGGGAAUCAUGUCUUUUCCUUCAGUGGUGGUGGGGUUUGGGGGGCGUGUGGCACAUUCCUGGUGUUGGGGGCUGCAGGGGCUCGGCUCUCCCGGGCCCAGGAGACAGGUGAAUCCCUCAGUUUGUUGGGUAGCGAAGGCAGGUAGCUCAGGAAGGAGAGUUCACGCUUGUCUCAAGCAGCCACCUGCCGCCCUGGGGACCUGGAGCAGUGGCCCAGGAGGUUGUGCUCAAGUGACAUUGAGGAGAAACCAUGCAAUUAUCCAACUGUACUGACACCAUUAGGGAGCUUGAGCUGGAUCACAGAGAGCAAGCUGUUUUUUCAAGAGUGGAGAGUAACUUGGGUCCCUGCUCUAGGUUUUCAAAGGUGAUCAAGCAUCCUUGUGAGGUCUUAAGUUGGCCAUCUCAUGCCACUGGACUGGUCAAGCCCUUCAGUCCACUUGAAAACACUUUACAAUUUCUGGGAGCUGGACUGGCAAACACACAGAGCUCAUUGCUGAACUACAGGAGUUGGACACAAGCUUUGAGGCCAUGUGGUUGAAUCCAAGAGUGAUCCUCCAUCCCUGGACCAGAGACAUCCCCAUGGAACCUUCAUCCUUGGCCUGGUACCAGCUGUGGGGUGAAAUGGGUAAGAGCACUUUUUAGGUAGCUGCACAGAUGGUGUUUCCUAACCAAACCUUGCAUUGUCUCCA
Molecule: long non-coding RNA, 937 nt
Filed under: Junco hyemalis (dark-eyed junco)
Lineage: Eukaryota; Metazoa; Chordata; Aves; Passeriformes; Passerellidae
Description: lncRNA (ENSJHYG00000002678.1)
Source: RNAcentral